AUUGAACGCUGGCGGCAGGCCUAACACAUGCAAGUCGAGCGGAUGAAGGGAGCUUGCUCCUGGAUUCAGCGGCGGACGGUUGAGUAAUGCCUAGGAAUCUGCCUGGUAGUGGGGGAUAACGUCCGGAAACGGGCGCUAAUACCGCAUACGUCCUGAGGGAGAAAGUGGGGGAUCUUCGGACCUCACGCUAUCAGAUGAGCCUAGGUCGGAUUAGCUAGUUGGUGGGGUAAAGGCCUACCAAGGCGACGAUCCGUAACUGGUCUGAGAGGAUGAUCAGUCACACUGGAACUGAGACACAGUCCAGACUCCUACGGGAGGCAGCAGUGGGGAAUAUUGGACAAUGGGCGAAAGCCUGAUCCAGCCAUGCCGCGUGUGUGAAGAAGGUCUUCGGAUUGUAAAGCACUUUAAGUUGGGAGGAAGGGCAGUAAGUUAAUACCUUGCUGUUUUGACGUUACCAACAGAAUAAGCACCGGCUAACUUCGUG
This 484-nucleotide ribosomal RNA is filed under the name uncultured bacterium. RNAcentral describes it as "partial 16S ribosomal RNA". It matches the Rfam family "Bacterial small subunit ribosomal RNA", at positions 30 to 507 of the family's 1533-position model. The record is from RNAcentral.